AUGAACGCUGGCGGCGUGCCUAAUACAUGCAAGUCGAGCGAACAGACGAGGAGCUUGCUCCUCUGACGUUAGCGGCGGACGGGUGAGUAACACGUGGAUAACCUACCUAUAAGACUGGGAUAACUUCGGGAAACCGGAGCUAAUACCGGAUAAUAUAUUGAACCGCAUGGUUCAAUAGUGAAAGACGGUUUUGCUGUCACUUAUAGAUGGAUCCGCGCCGCAUUAGCUAGUUGGUAAGGUAACGGCUUACCAAGGCAACGAUGCGUAGCCGACCUGAGAGGGUGAUCGGCCACACUGGAACUGAGACACGGUCCAGACUCCUACGGGAGGCAGCAGUAGGGAAUCUUCCGCAAUGGGCGAAAGCCUGACGGAGCAACGCCGCGUGAGUGAUGAAGGUCUUCGGAUCGUAAAACUCUGUUAUUAGGGAAGAACAAAUGUGUAAGUAACUAUGCACGUCUUGACGGUACCUAUCAGAAAGCCACGGCUAACUACGUG
Molecule: ribosomal RNA, 495 nt
Filed under: uncultured bacterium
Lineage: Bacteria
Description: partial 16S ribosomal RNA
Rfam family: Bacterial small subunit ribosomal RNA
Source: RNAcentral